UACGUAGGGCGCAAGCGUUGACCGGAAUUAUUGGGCGUAAAGAGCUCGUAGGCGGCUUGUCGCGUCGGUUGUGAAAGCCCGGGGCUUAACCCCGGGUCUGCAGUCGAUACGGGCAGGCUAGAGUUCGGUAGGGGAGAUCGGAAUUCCUGGUGUAGCGGUGAAAUGCGCAGAUAUCAGGAGGAACACCGGUGGCGAAGGCGGAUCUCUGGGCCGAUACUGACGCUGAGGAGCGAAAGCGUGGGGAGCGAACAGG
This 253-nucleotide ribosomal RNA is filed under the name uncultured bacterium. RNAcentral describes it as "partial 16S ribosomal RNA". It matches the Rfam family "Bacterial small subunit ribosomal RNA", at positions 524 to 776 of the family's 1533-position model. The record is from RNAcentral.